ACAAGGUUCUAUGUCUCUGUGUAUCCACCUGUAUACACUCUCCCCAGGAUGGAACAAAAAAAGGGGGGAGAGAUCAACAGGUGCCCCACAGGGACUAGUGUACCGAAGCGAGAUUCCAGGUAUCUCAGAGGGGCUUAACCCCAAGUAAACAAACAAUGCAACAAAAAAAUUACAAAAUGCAGUCUGUCUCAGAGUGUACUUGAGAUCAGCUGCAUGGCCUGGAAGUAUAUAUAACGGUAUAGUGUACUACGAACCCUGGC
This is a non-coding RNA of Pelobates cultripes (western spadefoot toad), 260 nucleotides long. The record is from the annotation of a GenBank genome assembly. NCBI's taxonomy places the organism in Eukaryota, Metazoa, Chordata, Amphibia, Anura, Pelobatidae.